Molecule: ribosomal RNA, 253 nt
Filed under: uncultured bacterium
Lineage: Bacteria
Description: partial 16S ribosomal RNA
Rfam family: Bacterial small subunit ribosomal RNA
Source: RNAcentral
AACGGAGGGUGCAAGCGUUAUUCGGAAUUACUGGGCGUAAAGCGCGUGCAGGUGGUUUUUUAAGUUUCGUGUGAAAUCCCCCGGCUCAACCGGGGAACUGCGCGGAAAACUGAGAAACUUGAAUACGGGAGAAGUGGGCGGAAUUCCCAGUGUAGAGGUGAAAUUCGUAGAUAUUGGGAGGAACACCGGCGGCGAAAGCGGCUCACUAGACCGAUAUUGACACUCAUACGCGAAAGCGUGGGGAGCAAACAGG